UCCUCUUACAAAGGCGCACUUGCAUUGGUCUGCUUGCCUGUGCGUAAGAACUGGAGGAAUAUUAAAAUGAAUGAUGACUCUUCUUCAUCACUG
Molecule: small nucleolar RNA, 93 nt
Filed under: Monopterus albus (swamp eel)
Lineage: Eukaryota; Metazoa; Chordata; Actinopteri; Synbranchiformes; Synbranchidae
Description: Small nucleolar RNA SNORA38 (ENSMALG00000003663.1)
Source: RNAcentral